UCCGUAGGUGGCAAGCGUUGUCCGGAAUUAUUGGGCGUAAAGCGCGCGCAGGCGGUCCUUUAAGUCUGAUGUGAAAGCCCACGGCUUAACCGUGGAGGGUCAUUGGAAACUGGGGGACUUGAGUGCAGAAGAGGAGAGUGGAAUUCCACGUGUAGCGGUGAAAUGCGUAGAUAUGUGGAGGAACACCAGUGGCGAAGGCGGCUCACUGGCCCGGUACUGACGCUGAGGUGCGAAAGCGUGGGGAGCAAACAGG
This 253-nucleotide ribosomal RNA is filed under the name uncultured bacterium. Its description in RNAcentral is "partial 16S ribosomal RNA". It matches the Rfam family "Bacterial small subunit ribosomal RNA", at positions 524 to 776 of the family's 1533-position model. The record is from RNAcentral.